UCGUAGCAAGUGUUUUGAUAUAGCUAUCAAUAAUCUCAUCUCUUGUAGGAUCACCCUCAGGCUUCUCCAUCACAACAAGCCAGUGCUCAAAAUCACAUCCAUCAAGCAAAAUCGUCUCCUUCGGUGGACGAUUAGACCAGUUCGGGUUCGGGUCAUUCAACGACGAGGACGUUUGACGAGUCGCGAAACCUCUCAACGACGUCGCCGCCGUUAACGUUGCCGGAGUAAAGGUUCGGAGAUUCGCUGCCACGGCGAUGAGUGGACGAAAACGGAGGAGAGAGAAAGAAGAUGGAAGAGGUGUAGAGAGAGAAAGAGGAAUGUAUGAGCGAGAGAGAGUAGUGAGUAGAGAACGAGUA
RNAcentral lists this long non-coding RNA (356 nucleotides) under Solanum tuberosum (potato). Its description in RNAcentral is "long non-coding RNA (STUB_LNC009543)". The record is from RNAcentral. Lineage: Eukaryota; Viridiplantae; Streptophyta; Magnoliopsida; Solanales; Solanaceae.